AGUGAACGCUGGCGGUAGGCCUAACACAUGCAAGUCGAACGGCAGCACAGUAAGAGCUUGCUCUUACGGGUGGCGAGUGGCGGACGGGUGAGGAAUACAUCGGAAUCUACUUUUUCGUGGGGGAUAACGUAGGGAAACUUACGCUAAUACCGCAUACGACCUACGGGUGAAAGCAGGGGAUCUUCGGACCUUGCGCGAUUGAAUGAGCCGAUGUCGGAUUAGCUAGUUGGCGGGGUAAAGGCCCACCAAGGCGACGAUCCGUAGCUGGUCUGAGAGGAUGAUCAGCCACACUGGAACUGAGACACGGUCCAGACUCCUACGGGAGGCAGGAGUGGGGAAUAUUGGACAAUGGGCGCAAGCCUGAUCCAGCCAUACCGCGUGGGUGAAGAAGGCCUUCGGGUUUUAAAGCCCUUUUGUUGGGAAAGAAAAGCAGCAGGUUAAUACCCCGCUGUUCUGACGGUACCCAAAGAAUAAGCACCGGCUAACUUCGUG
RNAcentral lists this ribosomal RNA (492 nucleotides) under uncultured bacterium. RNAcentral's name for it is "partial 16S ribosomal RNA". It matches the Rfam family "Bacterial small subunit ribosomal RNA", at positions 29 to 507 of the family's 1533-position model. The record is from RNAcentral.